UUUCCGUAGGUGAACCUGCGGAAGGAUCAUUACAGAGUUCAUGCCCUCACGGGUAGAUCUCCCACCCUUGAAUAUUUACACCUUAGUUGCUUUGGCAGGCCGUGGAAACACCAUGGGCUCCGGCUUAUGCGUGCCUGCCAGAGGAAACAAACUCUGUUUUUAGUGAUGUCUGAGUACUAUAUAAUAGUUAAAACUUUCAACAACGGAUCUCUUGGUUCUG
This 220-nucleotide unclassified non-coding RNA is filed under the name plant metagenome. Its description in RNAcentral is "partial contains small subunit ribosomal RNA, internal transcribed spacer 1, and 5.8S ribosomal RNA". The record is from RNAcentral.